AGACCUGAAAGCCAGCAAUAUAUUGCUUGACAAAAAUAUGAACCCCAAGAUAUCCGACUUUGGUAUGGCAGAAGUGUUUGCCACAACUGAAUCUGAAGCAACUACGAAUAGAGUUGUGGGUACACGUGGUUAUAUGGCUCCUGAAUACGUUAUUAGGGGGCAUCUUCUCUGAGAAAUCUGAUGUAUUCAGUUUCGGAGUGUUGGUUUUAGAGAUCAUAAGUGGUAGGAGGUGCAACAACACUAUCUUUUGUGAUGGCAGCCCUCUCAACCUUGUUGGAUAUGCAUGGCAGUUGUGGCAGGAAGGUUCAGCCAUGGAACUAAUGAAUUCAACACUACAUGAUUCAUGUUGUGAAGAGCAGGUCCUGAGAUGCAUUAACUUGGCUCUGCUUUGUGUUGAACACAAUCCAAUAGACAGACCUAGCAUGUCAGUAGUUGUUUCUAUGUUAACAAUAACAAGUGAAGGUGUAAAAUUACCAGUGCCGAAACAGCCAGCAUUUUGCAUUGAAAGAAGGGUUGUUGGGGACAAUGCGAGUGGCAUAAACAAGGCAGAGGAUACAAUUAAUAACUUAACUUUAUCAGUGAUGGAUCCACGAUAGAGGACACUUGGAAACAUCUCACAGUCGCAUGAAUUUAGGAGAUAUUGUUCCUAUUCUGUGGCCUUAUAUGAUUUCUCCCCAUUAGUUUAAAUUGGACCUUUUUCUUUGUAUAAGGUGAAUUGCACAAAUAAGGGAACUCUCUUUUCUUCUUCC
Long non-coding RNA from Mangifera indica (mango), 749 nucleotides. RefSeq lists it as uncharacterized. The transcript has 3 exons. The record is from RefSeq and is a predicted model, not a curated record. Lineage: Eukaryota; Viridiplantae; Streptophyta; Magnoliopsida; Sapindales; Anacardiaceae.